GCCUGGCUGGCUCAGUAAGUAGAGCAUGUGACUCUUGAUCUCAGGGUUGUAAGUUCGAGUUUCAUGCUGGAUG
Molecule: transfer RNA, 73 nt
Filed under: Canis lupus familiaris (dog)
Lineage: Eukaryota; Metazoa; Chordata; Mammalia; Carnivora; Canidae
Also listed under: 2 other names
Rfam family: tRNA
About the family: Transfer RNA (tRNA) molecules are approximately 80 nucleotides in length.
Source: Rfam by way of RNAcentral